Molecule: non-coding RNA, 851 nt
Organism: Phalacrocorax carbo (great cormorant)
Lineage: Eukaryota; Metazoa; Chordata; Aves; Suliformes; Phalacrocoracidae
Source: RefSeq, a predicted model, not a curated record
ACCCGGCACGGACGUCGCCCAGCGGGAGCGGACAUGGCGCUUCCCCCCCCCCACGCUCCUUCCACACACACACACCCCCCCCCCCCCGCCGCUCCCGCCGUUGCGCCGAGGCCCGGCAGCGGGGCGGGGGCGGCGGGCACGGCACGGCACGGCACGGCACGGCGGGGGCCGCCACCUGCCGCCCCCGGGGCUCCCCGCGCCGCGCCGCCCUCCGGGGCGGGGGGGGGGUGGUGGGUAAGCGGCCGCCUUACCCGGCCGGGCAGCCGGGGGCGAGCGGCGGGCUGUGCCGGUGCCUGGCGCCGCGGCGGGCGGCCCGGCCCGUCCUGAGCCCCGGUUCUCGGAGAAACACGACACGCCGGGCAGGGACGUUUUUCCACGCGGACGGUGGCUGCUUCCAUGCGGAGCGAGGGGGAUUCGUGGAUCGAGAAGAACAAGCCGGGAACCCAGUUCUAAAGCGUUUUGCAGACCAAGCCAUGGCGCGCACAGUUUUAAGGGAUUCUUAUUUUCUAAGUAGCACUAUGAGCUAUGCACUUCAAUUUUUUUUUUAAUAUACCUAUAGGAAACAAAAUUAUCUCAGAGAGACACCCUUGCUCUCUGACAUGCAGCUGGAAAUAAAGAAAAUUGGGAACUCACACAUUAGUCAUGAGAUCCGAUUUAAACCAUCUUCAUUUCUGCCAUCACAGAUUAGCAUAGGAUACUAUUUCUAAGCUACUGACAGUGCUAAAGAGCUGUCUUUGUUUUCUUUAAGUACUCAGCAAUAUGAAAUUUGGGUUUUAAUUUCAUUCCUAUCGCAACAAUUCCUGAGUAUGUUGAGAUGGCAAAUAGCGGACAAAUAAAGUUAGUAAUUAGUA